CGGGCAGCGCAGCGCUUGCGGCGCGCAUGGCGCCGGCGCUCUCGGCGACGGUAGGAGCAAUGAGGACGUACAGCGAGGGACCCCGCUUGCAAGCGCGCGGUCCCCGCUAUUUGUCGGGCCUCGUUGUAGACACUACGGUCAUGCCGGAAGCAGCUCGCAACUAGCCGCCGUCGGCUGAGAGAGCAGCCAGCCAUCGUAGCAUAAAAGACGGUGGCCCAAAAUUGCCGGUGAUGCUGCAGGUGACUCCUCGAGUCAGCUUCCCAAUGAAUGACGCACCGCGCCGGAGCAAAAUCAUCAUCGCAUCAGCUGGCAUUGGCAUCAUUCUGCUUGGGGUGCUCACCAGGUACCUCAGGAGACGUUUUGUUGACUUCAAAAGUGCCGUUGUCAAUGGAGAGGUGGCUAAUGUGGUGUGGUGCGGUCGGUGUCGAUGUGGACGCCGAACCAGCGGCCCCCGUGGGUCUCUGCGCGCACUACAAGGCCCCACAGCUGCGGACCGGGCAUCCAUGGCACACAUGGGACCCCAGCAGCUGGCCAGCUUGGGUCUGGACUCCCUGGACCAAGUGAUCAGCUACUGGGAGCAGGCCCUGCAGCGGAUCAGAACAGGCGGCUCCACUUCUGGCAAUGAGAGCCUGGCCACCAGCCUGGAAUUCCUGCUUGUGGAAGGCCAGCGGCUGCGCGGUGCUGCCCACUGGCGCCUGUUCGCCGAGGGAGGAGGAGUCCCUCCCCUGGCCCUGGAUGACCCGCAGCUGGCUGACUUCACCCACCCCCCCUCUCUGGCCGACACCGAGAGUUUCGUCUCGGCUGAGGGCACGUCCGAUGUAGCAGUGGUGGCUGAUCUGGAGGCCAGCCCAAUUCCCCCGGUGGAGCAGUCAGCUCUGUACAUGGAAGCAUUGGAGCUGCUCAAGAGAGAAGGCAUCCCUUGCCGGACAUACAGGGUGGAAGUGGUUCGGUGCAGCUCACGGGAAGACUACCUGGCCAAGAUCCACUGCAUACGCCUUGCAUUCAAGCGCCUAACAAAUCAGCCAGAUGUUCUCCAGUGGCUUAUAGAAGCAGCCAAUCAUAUUCUUGGAGGCUUCAUGCUGUGUGCUGGAAAAGACCCAAAGGAUGCGCUGCACGCGUACCGUGAGCUGGUUGCCUACCUGCUGGACAGCAGCCACUACGACCAAAUUGCCAAGGAGCUGCAGUACAAAGGGGUCAGUUGGAGCCAGCCAUCACAGCGUUGCAUGCCCCAGGUGGUGUGCCCAACAGUGUAUGAUGUCGUGAUUGACUACGUCCUCCUGGAUGCCUUUGAUGACCUGAGCAGCCCGCCGCAGUCAGUUGUGGCUGUUAUCCAGAACCGGUGGCUGACCGCAGGGUUCAAGGAAACAGCGCUGUCUGCGGCAAUUUGGUCUCUCUUCAAGGCCAAGAAGGGGCUGCUUCCCGUUUACAAGCAUGAAAGUGGAGCACCAGCUUAGUGCACCAAUCAAACCCGCAGCUCAAGCGUGCCGAAACAUGGAAAUGUGGAGCAAGGUGCAGCUCUUGAAGACCAUUGAAACCCGCAGCUCACGGGCACUUUCCGCAAGCAACACUGUGCAUCACAGCGGCACGCGUCGCGCCAAUAUGAAGCAUGUGAAACGAAGCUGCAUCUGUGCGCUGCAUUGCCACUCAGCCACCGCGACCGUUGCCACACCGUCGCUUGCAUGUGAAACAAGCUUCAGGGAGACCACACACCUCUGGUUCUCUCAUGGCUUCUUCUCACACUACUACGCCCUGAUGGAACAAAUUGUGCCCGUGCUUGCCUGGGGCUUUCUGGGCACUGAUAAUGACCUCAAGGAU
Molecule: unclassified non-coding RNA, 1815 nt
Filed under: Dermacentor andersoni
Lineage: Eukaryota; Metazoa; Arthropoda; Arachnida; Ixodida; Ixodidae
Description: mitoguardin-like
Source: RNAcentral